RNAcentral lists this ribosomal RNA (253 nucleotides) under uncultured bacterium. RNAcentral describes it as "partial 16S ribosomal RNA". It matches the Rfam family "Bacterial small subunit ribosomal RNA", at positions 524 to 776 of the family's 1533-position model. The record is from RNAcentral.
UACGUAGGAGACGAGCGUUGUCCGGAGUUACUGGGCGUAAAGGGUGCGCAGGUGGCGGCGCGCGUGGGGGGUGAAAUCGCCCGGCUUAACUGGGCGGGGGCCUUCCAGACGGCGUGGCUUGAGCAGCGGAGGGGGACGUGGAAUUCCGGGUGGAGCGGUGAAAUGCGUAGAGAUGUGGAGGAACACCGAUGGCGAAGGCAGCCCCCUGGGCUGAGAUUGACGCUCAGGCACGAAAGCGUGGGGAGCGAUCCGG